UACGUAGGGGGCAAGCGUUGUCCGGAAUCAUUGGGCGUAAAGCGCGUGUAGGCGGAUUGGAAGGUCUGGUGUGAAAGCCCGGGGGCUCAACCCCGGAGGGUCACUGGAAACCGACAGUCUUGAGUCCGGAAGAGGAGAGUGGAAUUCCUGGUGUAGCGGUGGAAUGCGCAGAUAUCAGGAGGAACACCUAUGGCGAAGGCAGCUCUCUGGUACGUGACUGGACGCUGAGACGCGAAAGCGUGGGGAGCGAACAGG
Molecule: ribosomal RNA, 255 nt
Filed under: uncultured bacterium
Lineage: Bacteria
Description: partial 16S ribosomal RNA
Rfam family: Bacterial small subunit ribosomal RNA
Source: RNAcentral